UACGGGGGGAGCAAGCGUUGUUCGGAUUUACUGGGCGUAAAGGGCGCGUAGGCGGCCACCGCAAGUCGACUGUGAAAUCUCCGGGCUCAACCCGGAAAUUGCCGUUGAUACUAUUAGUCUUGAAUUAAGUUGAGGUGGGCGGAAUAUGUCAUGUAGCGGUGAAAUGCUUAGAUAUGACAUAGAACACCGAUUGCGAAGGCAGCUCGCUAAACUUAUAUUGACGCUGAGGCACGAAAGCGUGGGGAGCAAACAGG
Molecule: ribosomal RNA, 254 nt
Filed under: uncultured bacterium
Lineage: Bacteria
Description: partial 16S ribosomal RNA
Rfam family: Bacterial small subunit ribosomal RNA
Source: RNAcentral